RNAcentral lists this small RNA (67 nucleotides) under Psychrobacter sp. PRwf-1. Its description in RNAcentral is "Enterobacterial sRNA STnc370". It matches the Rfam family "Enterobacterial sRNA STnc370". Lineage: Bacteria; Pseudomonadati; Pseudomonadota; Gammaproteobacteria; Moraxellales; Moraxellaceae. The record is from Rfam by way of RNAcentral.
AAUAAUAUCUAACCUUAUCCGAUUUUAGGCAUAAAAAAACCUGCCAGAAAGCAGGUUUUUUUAUUGU